Long non-coding RNA from Phyllostomus discolor (pale spear-nosed bat), 3057 nucleotides. RefSeq lists it as uncharacterized. Lineage: Eukaryota; Metazoa; Chordata; Mammalia; Chiroptera; Phyllostomidae. The record is from RefSeq and is a predicted model, not a curated record. The transcript is spliced from 2 exons.
UCUUCCUUCCCCGCCCCCGUCGAGAAAGACGCUUCCUUUCCGUCACUUCCGGCGGGAGGGACGCGGAAGUGAAGAACUGUAGUUGGAAGGUGUUCGGAGUGGGACCGGCGUGAGAAUGUUAGACUGGAGGUCGGAGCCCUGGGGUUCUUGCGGGAAACGCGAGGAACUCGGUGUACGACGACGUGUUCCAGGAGAAAAGGUCGGAGGCGGAAGGCGGGCCCGUGCCUCCCGCUCCCAGAGGAUUCCAGGCGUCCUCUGGCCAGAUCCUUGUGCUGUCAGAUGAUGGGCUGAACCUGGCUGCCGAAUACUCGCGGGCAAUUUAAAGUUACUUUUGGGAUAUUUGUUGGUGGCCGAAUCGCCAAGAGGAGAUGGUUGUUGGGACGAUGCCUCCACCCUCCAGCCUGAUCACAAUUACAGCUUUACUGUAUUCGCCGUCAAUCGGGAGGACCUAUGAACUCGAGGCUGCGUGCUCCUAGUCCACACAGGCAAGGGACUCACCAGAAUAUCUCACGAGGAAGAAGCACUUAAUUAAAACCAGGCUGUUCUUGAAUCCCACUUUAUUCUGUACUGAAUUUGCUUCAAAAUUUGAAAGGAAAAUUUUAAAGAAAAUUUCUCCUUAGAGCGUCUUUAUACAUGUACUGAAUUUUAUAUCAUAUGACAUGACUUCUGAGUAGAUGCUAACUCUUUCAAAGUCCAGAAUAAAGACUACAUUCCCAGCCUCCCUUGCAGCUUGGUGUGACUUUGUGUCUAAUUCUGGUCACUGGGGUGUAAGCAGAGUGAUAUGUUUAACUUCUAAGUGUCCUUAACUGUAGAGAGAAGUCUUUGCUCACUUGCUAAAAUUCAGAUGAGGUGGCUGGAACUUGAACAACAUUGUGGAUCACAAGGCCCAAGCCACAUGCGGUCACACAGAAGCCAGCAGAAAAACAAAACAGGUGGGUGGAGCUUUGGGUACCUACUGGAUGUGGAACUGCCUCCCUAGCCUUCGACUGAUUACAUGAGGGAGAAAGCACUUGUUAGCACACUGUUACUUGAGGUUUUCUGAACUAAUAUGCUCAAAAAAUGAUAACUCUCACUAUUAAAUGAUUCCCUAUAUGCUUCAAGAGGGGCAAAAAUGUUAAUAAUUUUAAGGAGUAUAUUUAGAAGGAAAAUCUGGGGUCGUACUAUUCAAAAAUGUGCUGUAAUAAAGCAGCUUAAUGAAGUUGAUGGAACUCAGAAUCUACAAAAGUUAAAGUUUUUAAACAAUGAAAUGUAUAUUCUUUCUAUGCUAUUUAGAAGUGAGGGCACCAUGAGUUUAGUCCAUGAGCCCCAAUUUGUUAGACACAAGAUUGGGGAUGUGGAGAAUAGAAAUUAUUCAGCUAACUUCCCUGGCUCUGCUAUUCACCGCAUUUGCUUCUCACCAAUCACUUGUACUCCAGAGUAAACUCUACCUAAUACCCUGUAGGAUGUAGGCACCCCCAUCUUCAAAAAGGAGUGAGAACAUGGAAGACAAGAACCUGGAUGUUACUGGGCAUGUUGCUAAGAGUUAAGCUUUUGGAGAGAGGGUAAAAGGGAUUAAAAUAUUGGUCUUCAACUUCACAUCUCUUUGGAUUUAGUCUUUUGAGAUUCCUGGCCUUUGGAUUUUCCUCUCUGGGAAUAUAUUCCUCACCCUUACUCAUCACUUUUGAUGGUUCUUCCCCUGGUCCCAUGAUCUUGGGAGCAGGUGGUGAGAAAUUAGGCUUGUGUAUGCUUCUUGCUUGAGAGAGGUCUUCUACUUUGAAAGGGGGCCCUGGAGAGUUGUAGACACUCAGGCUCCUUCUAGCCAGAUAGGCUCUGCCCUUAUGCUCCUUUGGAGGCUUUGCAAAGGUGUCUUCUGCUGCAGCUCAGAUGCAGGGAAGCAUGGAGUAGUUCAUCAGGACCCUGCCUUUGGCUGUCUGUCUCUUCAUGACAAUGCUACUGAGUCAAGUUCAGUCAGAAGGUAGAAAGCACAUCAAUUACCUGAACAGAGAAUUUAACAUAAAAGAUUAACAUACAUGAAGCUGUUAACUAAGUAAUCAAAAGGAUAAAAAGAAAACUCAGGUGUCACAGAGGAAGCAACUGUAGGAAGCAGUUUCCACCUCUAUGGCUGGGGGAACAAAAACAAAGACGUCAGCAUUAGUACAACUGAGAAACUUAGAGGAACAGGGGAAUGUCUAAUGGCACUGUGGUCUCUGAGGGAGACCUCACCAAGCUGGUUCUCCAUGUUUUAGAAAAACCACCCUUUGGGCUCAGCUACUGAUGCUGGAGUAAGAAGCAUUGGAGUGAGUCACACAGAACUGCAAGCAGAUGGGAAGCAGGUAGGGGGAGGAGGUUCCUACUUCAUCUUCCAGGCUUGUGACAUUGCUGUCCCUUAGGGGCAGAGCCAAACAGUGAGCUUUCAAGAGUGUUGCUUGCAGACUCCCAGCUUCAGCACCACUAGACACAGAACAGAAAGUUAGGUUUGGAACCGGAGCAGACAACCACAUUGAGUUCUUAUUUGAAUAGAUGUUUCACUCCAAGUGUACAGAUUGAAGUUUACAUAUCAGCCUCCUCUGAGCUUAAGGAGCUUAAACCAAUGUCUAGGUUUUCUUAACAGUUCUUAAGUGUCAGAUAACAUCAGCCUAGAAUCCUAGUCCAGGAUCACUUCAAUCAGAUGUUAUACCUCAACUGUAACCUGCCACUGCCCUUUCCUCCCUAUGUCCUCCUGCCCCAGGCUCAAUUCUACCCAUGAGUUUUGGGAUACCAACUGUGAGAAGUGCAGUUCAGGAAUCCAGAAAGCAGAACCAUCCCCAGGAGAUGAAUCAUGACCACUUAAAAUCUGAGUAAGCCCCUUCACAUUUGCCUGGUACUCUUUCCCAGAGUUUUUUACCGCCAAAGGUGGCCAUAUUACCCAGUUUUGGCUAGAGAGAUAGGAGAAACUGCUGGCAAGAUCUCUGGGAAUAAUUUUAUUCAGUGCUUAAAAAGCUGGGCAUGCCUUUUCCCUUUUAUUGUCAGGAAGCAGGGCUGAAAAUGUAAUUCCUGACUCUGAGACAUCCAUCUUACAACUACAAAGUGACAAAAAAA